CAGAGAUCAAAGACUAGCAUGGUAUCUCUUCAGUCUAUUUAAACUGGCCUGUCAUCUAACAAUUAUUCAUAUUUGCUUUGGGUAAUUACCUCUUAUUACACAGCCUAUAAAAUUGUGCCUUCCCUGUUCUAUGCUUAUCAUGUCCUUUCAACUCCCCAUACCAGCUAGCACUAAAGCUUAGUGUAUAGUAGGUCCUUGGUAUAGCAUUUGUAGAUUUUAUUCCAUUAAACUUAAUUCUCUUUCUUUUUGUUUGAGAUGGAGUCUCGCUCUGUCG
RNAcentral lists this long non-coding RNA (274 nucleotides) under Homo sapiens (human). RNAcentral describes it as "non-protein coding lnc-STIL-4:1". Lineage: Eukaryota; Metazoa; Chordata; Mammalia; Primates; Hominidae. The record is from RNAcentral.